AACGCGAAGAACCUUACCUGGGCUUGACAUCCUCUGAACAUCUAAGAGAUUAGGUUUCCGGGCAACCGGACAGAGAGACAGGUGCUGCAUGGCUGUCGUCAGCUCGUGCCGUGAGGUGUUGGGUUAAGUCCCGCAACGAGCGCAACCCUUGUCGUGUGUUGGUCCACAAGAUCUCUCACACGAGACCGCCGGUGACAAGCCGGAGGAAGGUGAGGAUGAUGUCAAGUCCGCAUGGCCUUUAUGUCUGGGGCUACACACGUGCUACAAUGGUCGGUACAGAAGGCAGCAAGACCGCAAGGUGGAGCAAAUCCGUAAAGCCGAUCACAGUUCAGAUUGUAGUCUGCAACUCGACUACAUGAAGUUGGAAUUGCUAGUAAUGACGUGUCAGCAACAACGUCGUGAAUACGUUCCCGGGCCUUGUACACACCGCUCGCGA
This 436-nucleotide ribosomal RNA is filed under the name uncultured bacterium. RNAcentral's name for it is "bacterial SSU rRNA". It matches the Rfam family "Bacterial small subunit ribosomal RNA", at positions 958 to 1399 of the family's 1533-position model. The record is from RNAcentral.